This 514-nucleotide long non-coding RNA is filed under the name Chinchilla lanigera (long-tailed chinchilla). RNAcentral describes it as "lncRNA (ENSCLAG00000025065.1)". Lineage: Eukaryota; Metazoa; Chordata; Mammalia; Rodentia; Chinchillidae. The record is from RNAcentral.
GAAAGGGAAGGGGGAGGGGAAGACAAAAGAAGAAUAAAGACAGGGGAGGGGAAGGAGGAGGCGGUGGGGAGAAGAAAAGCGCAACAGAAAAAUGGAAGAAGAAACAGAAGGAGGAGGAGGAGGAAGAUGAGGACAAAGAAGAGGAGGGGACUGCUCCUUGGGUUGUCCCUACAAAGGAAAGGAAAGCAACAGAAGGCAAACCACCUGAUCCUCCCACUGGGUUUUGGUUGCUGCGCAUUGUCUCACUCUUUCUUCUAACCUCAGGUAAGUGAGAGUGGGCUGCACCUUACGCAGCAGAGUAAGUUUCAGAUUUUAGAAAUCCAACACUAUAUCUGUCAAAACUGGCAACUGCUAGUAUCAUUGUUUUGGAGGGAAAUAGACAAUAUGCACCAACAGCUCAGCCUUCUAUCGUGCAGCCCUUUGGGACAUGGACUUGUUCUCUUGGUCCAGUUCUGCCCCAUAUUACUCUCCUUGUCCUGCAACUCUAGCAGUCUGCCGGAUUCUCCCUAAAUGG